This 651-nucleotide ribosomal RNA is filed under the name Mycena sp. AJM-2007a. RNAcentral's name for it is "eukaryotic LSU rRNA". It matches the Rfam family "Eukaryotic large subunit ribosomal RNA", at positions 38 to 670 of the family's 3401-position model. The record is from RNAcentral. Lineage: Eukaryota; Fungi; Basidiomycota; Agaricomycetes; Agaricales; Mycenaceae.
GCAUAUCAAUAAGCGGAGGAAAAGAAACUAACAAGGAUUCCCCUAGUAACUGCGAGUGAAGCGGGAAAAGCUCAAAUUUAAAAUCUGGCAGUUUACGCUGUCCGAGUUGUAAUUUAGAGAAGCAUUAUCCGUGCUGGACCGUGUACAAGUUCCUUGGAAUAGGACGUCAUAGAGGGUGAGAAUCCCGUCUUUGACACGGACUACCAGUGCAAUGUGAUACGCUCUCGAAGAGUCGAGUUGUUUGGGAAUGCAGCUCAAAAUGGGUGGUAAAUUCCAUCUAAAGCUAAAUAUUGGGGAGAGACCGAUAGCGAACAAGUACCGUGAGGGAAAGAUGAAAAGAACUUUGGAAAGAGAGUUAAACAGUACGUGAAAUUGCUGAAAGGGAAACGCUUGAAGUCAGUCGCGACGUUCGGGACUCAGCCAUGCUUCUGUGUGGUGUAUUUCCUGUUCGUUGGGUCAACAUCAGUUUUGGUCGGUGGAUAAAGAUUCAGGGAAUGUGGCUCUUUCGGGAGUGUUAUAGCCCCUGGGUUGUAUACAUUGACUGGGACUGAGGAACUCAGCACGCCGAAAGGCCGGAUACUUGUAUCACGUUCGUGCUUAGGAUGUUGGCAUAAUGGCUUUAAUCGACCCGUCUUGAAAGCACGGACCAAG